Nannospalax galili (Upper Galilee mountains blind mole rat) is the source of this 214-nucleotide small nucleolar RNA. Its record names the gene U3. It matches the Rfam family "Small nucleolar RNA U3". From Rfam's summary of the family: Small nucleolar RNAs (snoRNAs) are involved in the processing and modification of rRNA in the nucleolus. NCBI's taxonomy places the organism in Eukaryota, Metazoa, Chordata, Mammalia, Rodentia, Spalacidae. The record is from Ensembl.
AAGACUAUACUUUCAGGGAUCAUUUCUAUAGUUUGUUACUAGAGAAGUUUCUCUGACUGUGUAGAGUACCCGAAACCACGAGGAGGAGAUGUGGAGGAGAUGUAGUAUUCUCUCCUGAGCGUGAAGCCGGCUCUAGGUGUUGUCUUUCUGCAACUGCCUUUUGCCUUCUUUUCUCCUUUGGGAGAGUGGAGGGAGAGAAUGCAGUCUGAGUGGU